CUCCUUGUGCCGCGAAGCAAUCGGAAGUGGUUCCAAGAAAAGCCUCUAAGCUUCAGUCUAACGAGACCGUACCGCAAACCGACACAGGUGGGCGAGAUGAGUAUUCUAAGGCGCUUGAGAGAACUCGGGAGAAGGAACUCGGCAAAUUGGUACCGUAACUUCGGGAUAAGGUACGCCCUUGUAGUUUGACUGGCCUGCGCCAGAAGGACGAAGGGGUUGCAAUAAAUUGGUGGCUGCGACUGUUUAAUAAAAACACAGCACUCUGCAAACACGAAAGUGGACGUAUAGGGUGUGACUCCUGCCCGGUGCUGGAAGAUUAAAUGAUGGGGUGCAAGCUCUUGAUUGAAGUCCCAGUAAACGGCGGCCGUAACUAUAACGGUCCUAAGGUAGCGAAAUUCCUUGUCGGGUAAGUUCCGACCUGCACGAAUGGAGUAACGAUGGCCACACUGUCUCCUCCCGAGACUCAGCGAAGUUGAAAUGUUUGUGAUGAUGCAAUCUACCCGCGGCUAGACGGAAAGACCCCAUGAACCUUUACUGUAGCUUUGCAUUGGACUUUGAACCAAUCUGUGUAGGAUAGGUGGGAGGCUUUGAAGCGGGGACGCCAGUUCUCGUGGAGCCAACCUUGAAAUACCACCCUGGUUUGUUUGAGGUUCUAACCUUGGUCCGUUAUCCGGAUCGGGGACAGUGCAUGGUAGGCAGUUUGACUGGGGCGGUCUCCUCCCAAAGUGUAACGGAGGAGUUCGAAGGUACGCUAAUUACGGUCGGACAUCGUGAUGAUAGUGCAAUGGCAUAAGCGUGCUUAACUGCGAGACUGACAAGUCGAGCAGGUACGAAAGUAGGACAUAGUGAUCCGGUGGUUCUGUAUGGAAGGGCCAUCGCUCAACGGAUAAAAGGUACUCUGGGGAUAACAGGCUGAUUCCUCCCAAGAGUUCAUAUCGACGGGGGAGUUUGGCACCUCGAUGUCGGCUCAUCACAUCCUGGGGCUGUAGCCGGUCCCAAGGGUAUGGCUGUUCGCCAUUUAAAGUGGUACGUGAGCUGGGUUUAAAACGUCGUGAGACAGUUUGGUCCCUAUCUGCCGUGGGCGUUGGAAAUUUGAAGGGGGCUGCUCCUAGUACGAGAGGACCGGAGUGGACGAACCUCUGGUGUACCGGUUGUCACGCCAGUGGCAUUGCCGGGUAGCUAAGUUCGGAAGAGAUAACCGCUGAAAGCAUCUAAGCGGGAAACUUGCCUUGAGAUGAGAUUUCCCGGAGCUUUAAGCUCCUUAAAGGGUCGUUCGAGACCAGGACGUUGAUAGGCUGGGUGUGGAAGA
RNAcentral lists this ribosomal RNA (1309 nucleotides) under metagenome. Its description in RNAcentral is "bacterial LSU rRNA". It matches the Rfam family "Bacterial large subunit ribosomal RNA", at positions 1574 to 2874 of the family's 2925-position model. The record is from RNAcentral.